RNAcentral lists this ribosomal RNA (497 nucleotides) under uncultured bacterium. Its description in RNAcentral is "partial 16S ribosomal RNA". It matches the Rfam family "Bacterial small subunit ribosomal RNA", at positions 28 to 507 of the family's 1533-position model. The record is from RNAcentral.
GAUGAACGCUGGCGGCGUGCCUAAUACAUGCAAGUCGAGCGAACAGACGAGGAGCUUGCUCCUCUGACGUUAGCGGCGGACGGGUGAGUAACACGUGGAUAACCUACCUAUAAGACUGGGAUAACUUCGGGAAACCGGAGCUAAUACCGGAUAAUAUAUUGAACCGCAUGGUUCAAUAGUGAAAGACGGUUUUGCUGUCACUUAUAGAUGGAUCCGCGCCGCAUUAGCUAGUUGGUAAGGUAACGGCUUACCAAGGCAACGAUGCGUAGCCGACCUGAGAGGGUGAUCGGACACACUGGAACUGAGACACGGUCCAGACUCCUACGGUAGGCAGCAGUAGGGAAUCUUCCGCAAUGGGCGAAAGCCUGACGGAGCAACGCCGCGUGAGUGAUGAAGGUCUUCGGAUCGUAAAACUCUGUUAUUAGGGAAGAACAAAUGUGUAAGUAACUAUGCACGUCUUGACGGUACCUAAUCAGAAAGCCACGGCUAACUACGUG